RNAcentral lists this unclassified non-coding RNA (498 nucleotides) under Hevea brasiliensis (rubber tree). The record is from RNAcentral. Lineage: Eukaryota; Viridiplantae; Streptophyta; Magnoliopsida; Malpighiales; Euphorbiaceae.
AAAACUCACACUUAUAUUAAAAACUCCUUGUUAAGGGCGCUGACACAAUUGGAGUUAGACAGAUUCUGGUCCUACUUUGCUAUUAAAUUUGUAUCAACCGGCAAGGAACUAGCGUGUGCAUCUUCUGUCGGUCUGACUCUGAGUCAUCCAACCUGACCCACUCUUCGCUACCGCUGCCUCCUUCUGAUCGUAUUUUCAAUUUCUACUGCUAUUUACUGAAAUCAUUCUCCUGCUUGCUAUUGGAAUUCUUAAUAUUUGUUUUAACUUGUGCAAUUGUUUUUCUGUUUGAAAGCACCACCAUAUUGCACUCUAACUGUUUGAUAUUUUCUUUCAACGAAUCAGUUUUAUUUCUCCUCCAACAUGCAUAGAACAUUUACAUUUUUCUUACUUGCAUCUAUCUUUUAAAACUGUUAUUUUACACUAAAAAAAAGAUGUCUAUGCGUUCCCAUUCCCGUUUAAAAAAUCAAGCACUAUGUUGGAUGGGUUCCACUGAAGCAA